Molecule: long non-coding RNA, 2791 nt
Organism: Acinonyx jubatus (cheetah)
Lineage: Eukaryota; Metazoa; Chordata; Mammalia; Carnivora; Felidae
Exons: 3
Source: RefSeq, a predicted model, not a curated record
AUCAGGGAAGGGGAGUGUUGAUCCGGAUUCUGUCACCUUUAUUGGGUACCUACUGUGUGCCUGGCAAUGGGCUCUGUUCCCCCUUUACCUGGAUUAUUUCAUCUAGUCCUCACCUGAGCCCUAUGCCUGUGUUAUUAUCCUGCUCUGACAGAGAAGGAAACUGAGACUCAGAGGCAUUAUGUAACUUGCCCAAGGUCACACAGCUUGUCAGGAAUGAAGCCAGGAUCCCAGCCCAGGUCUGUUGGCCUCCAGUGGGUUGUCUCUGCUGCCAGAAAGUCCUCCUCCUGGAAAGCCGGUCUGGAGUUGGGGUUUUCAGUCAGAGCUCAUCAGGAUCCCCAGAGGAAGGCCUUCCUGUUAUCUAACUCCCAUUCUCCUAAUGGACUCACAAACAAUCCCAGUUGCCUGUUCCAAGGAAGAGGUCCUGCCCAUGCACCAUGCCUUGAGGAAAUAUCUUGUCACUUUCCUCAUGGGAAAUGAAGCCCAGAGAAGAAAUAAGUGGGAAGACAUGUGGAUAAAGACUUCAGAUUUGGAAUAGAGACACUCUAAGGACUUCCAUGGCCCUGAAGGAUGGAGGUCUGGAUGCUUCACCCCAAGGGGGUCCCCUCUCCCCACCUGAUUCUAUUGCUUCCCACCUCAUCCUUCAGCUUUUUUGUGUGUCUGUGUCUAACUUCCAUUCUUCCUGUUGCACUUGGGAGUGCAUGCUUCUUUCAUUUGGAGGGAGAAUUCUGUCUCAGCUCCCUUUAACUGCCUAAGUUCCUGAAAUUCUACCACUAAAUUCAUACUGUACUUGUGCUCAUUGAGAAUCCACUAUGGUUAGACACUGUGCUGUAAGCUUCAGCUACAUUAUUUCAUCCAAACCUGCUAACCACUCUUUCCAUACUGUUAAUAUAAUGGUAAUAAUAGUGACCAGUUAAUGAGCUAAACUCUUACAUGAAUUAUAUUUAAAUCUCACUGAGAGAGGUGCCUAGGUGGCUCAGUCAAGUGAGCAUCCAAUUCUUGAUUUUGGCUCAGGUCAUGAGCCCAGGGUUGUGGGACUGAGUCCCACACUGGGCACUGCACUGAAUGCAAAGCCUGCUUAAGAUUCUCUCUCUCUCCCUCUACCCCCCUCCCCUGCUCUCUCUCUCUCAAAUAAAAAAAAAAUCUCACUGAGAAAUAACCUGCCCAGUUAGUAUUGAGAAUGGGAUGAGAAAUCUAGGAUUGUCUCCAGUACACCAGACUCUCUGGGGGCAUGAGAACUGCCUGGCUGAUGAAAGGCAGGAGAUAUUUGGAUGCCUUUUCCCCCUCACUCAUUCUUUCCUAGAUGAAGCACAGAGAUGUCCUUCCCUGAGUGCAGAGAGCAGGCACCUCUGAUGACACCCUCAGGUCUGGGCAAGUCUGCCCAUUUGUUGGGGAGGGCAGAGUUGUCAUAGGAGCUACAAGAUCCUUAGAGGGGUUGCCUGGUAUCAUAGGAGGGGGGUGCCCACCCACAUAAUGAGAGAUCCUGCUCUGUGACACAGAGAGAUGCUUCUUAUAUGCCCCAUCCUCUGAGAAUGGCUUAGUUGUUUGUAUGUGUGUGUGUGUGCAUUUGUACAGGAACUUGUGUGCAAAGAACCUGGUGAUUUGCACACAUGUGUGCAAGCCAGAACACGCCUGCCUUCUGUGCAUUUUCCUCAGGAAAUGUGUGUGUGUGAUGUGAGUUAUCUGUUUGUCUAGACCCUCACAAUGGCAAGUAACUUGUACAUUUUUUCAUGUGUGUACCUGUGGGUGGAGUUCACACAGGAUAGAAAGGGUCUGGCCCCAGAGUUGAGUUCUGAGCUCAGCUCCCCACUCUUCUUGUCUGUCCCUAGCUCCCUGCAUCUUCCCCACCUCCCCUCAUGCUGGGCAGAAUGCCCUCAGCCUGUGCCGGCUGGCACACAUGCCACAUGGUGCCUGGCGCGCGUCUGGGCAAGGAUGACGCCCCCAGGCCCGGCUGGGAUACUAAGCCACCCGCUGCCUCCCCCACUUCCAGAACGGAGCGUCCCCAUCCCGUCCCCUUUCUCAGCCAGGGACGCGGGGAGCAGGCGGGGACACGGCACAGACAGAUACAAACACACAGAUGCACCCAGAGACGCCCACAGGCGUGUGCCCCAUAGAGGCACAGGCGUUCACACAGACUCAAGCACAUUCGCAUACACACUCACACACGCACAUUCACACACACCCAAAGAAACUCGUGGGCACUCACCACUUGCACAGAUCUCGGCCUGAGUAAACUCUAGGUACGGGCCUAGCCAGUUAGGCAACGCACCCGCUGUCUCUGUCCGUGGUGCUGAAACCAGAUCUUUCUCCUUACCGAAGGACAAGACAGGGAAGAAGAGAUCAGAGGAGCCCCAAGAUGGGCGAUAGAAGACAGAAGGAAUGGAGGAGAGAGAGGAGAUGAGAGUGAGAAACUCACAGAUAAAGGAGAGAGAGAAUCUAAAGGAUGCCGUGGGAGCCAAGGCUUGGGGGGGGGGGUGCCCAAACACCGGGACUAGGAGAAGCAGGUGAGGAUGAAAGGUGACCUCAGACCCUAUCCCUGCCGAAGUGCAGACUUAAGGUCUAAGGACUAAGCCUUCGAUGCCAUUCAGGGCCAAUUAUGGAAGAUUUUGGUAAGAAUACCACGGCAGGUGGGGGACCCUGGAUGUGUGGUUUCUGUGGCCUCCAAGUGUCCCUUUCCAGGUGCCUUCUUGCUCUGGAAGACCUUAAAAUUGUAGGGGAAGGAGACAGACACUAAAAAAGUUCUAUCAUAACCCUGAAAAAAGCUCUCUACCCGAUCUCUAUUUGUUCAUUUGUU